AUGGCAUCCAACCAGAACCAGGCGAGCUACGGCGCCGGCGAGGCCAAGGGCCACUCCCAGGAGAAGGCCGGGCAGGCGAUGGGCGCGGCCAAGGACAAGGCGUACGAGGCCAAAGACCAGGCAGCGGGCCUGGCGGGGCACGCGUCCGGGCAGGGGCAAGGCGCCACGGAGGCCUCCAAGCACAAGGCCGGCGAGGCCACCGACAAGGCGUCCCAGACGGCGCAGGCCGCCAAGGACAAGGCCUCCGAGACCGCGCAGGCCGCCAAGGACCGCACCGUCGAGAGCAAGGACCAGACCGGCAGCUUCCUCGGCGAGAAGACGGAGAUGGCCAAGCAGAAGGCUGCCGAGACCGCCGAGGCGGCCAGGCAGAAGGCGGCGGAGACGGCGCAGUACACGCAGGACAGGACAUACGACGCGGCGCAGUAUGCCAAGGAGUCCGCCGUGGCCGGCAAGGACAAGACCGGCAGCGUGCUCCAGCAGGCCGGCGAGACGGUGGUGGGCGCCAAGGACGCCGUGGCCAACACGCUGGGGAUGGGCGGAGAUGGCACAGGCAACAACGCCGCCACCAAGGACACCACCGAGAGGAUCACCAGGGAUCACUAG
RNAcentral lists this ribosomal RNA (603 nucleotides) under Triticum aestivum (bread wheat). RNAcentral describes it as "partial small subunit ribosomal RNA". Lineage: Eukaryota; Viridiplantae; Streptophyta; Magnoliopsida; Poales; Poaceae. The record is from RNAcentral.